GAUGAACGCUGGCGGCGUGCCUAAUACAUGCAAGUCGAACGCAUAGCGAAAGGUGCUUGCACCUUUCAAGUGAGUGGCGAACGGGUGAGUAACACGUGGACAACCUGCCUCAAGGCUGGGGAUAACAUUUGGAAACAGAUGCUAAUACCGAGUAAAACUUAGUGUCGCAUGACACAAAGUUAAAAGGCGCUUCGGCGUCACCUAGAGAUGGAUCCGCGGUGCAUUAGUUAGUUGGUGGGGUAAAGGCCUACCAAGACAAUGAUGCAUAGCCGAGUUGAGAGACUGAUCGGCCACAUUGGGACUGAGACACGGCCCAAACUCCUACGGGAGGCUGCAGUAGGGAAUCUUCCACAAUGGGCGAAAGCCUGAUGGAGCAACGCCGCGUGUGUGAUGAAGGCUUUCGGGUCGUAAAGCACUGUUGUAUGGGAAGAACAGCUAGAAUAGGAAAUGAUUUUAGUUUGACGGUACCAUACCAGAAAGGGACGGCUAAAUACGUG
This 497-nucleotide ribosomal RNA is filed under the name uncultured bacterium. RNAcentral describes it as "partial 16S ribosomal RNA". It matches the Rfam family "Bacterial small subunit ribosomal RNA", at positions 28 to 507 of the family's 1533-position model. The record is from RNAcentral.